AGAAGACGAGUAACAAAAUCCAGCUAGGACGAAGACUACAUAACCAGCUCUUUGAAGUAUUUAAUAAAGUUUUUCCGGAACAUGUCAGAAAAUAUUAGUUAGGAUUCGGAGCCAAACAGUAUCAUGGUGUACCUUCAUUGACGCCUAUGCUACUGAGUCCUCACUUUUUGAUGUUCCUUAAGUGAAAAUCCGCUUAUAGCACAUGGAAUGAUCACCUGUGAUUGCUAACCAUUUUACAGGCUACCUUUGUUUCACUUUGCCCUCAUUUUCUACAAAAUCCGAAAGAUUUCUUUUCAAAUAUAUCGAAAUUAUUCUUGCCUAUUUAAAAAUAUUUAUAUUUACUGCGUUUGCCUCUUUAGGGUUCAAAUUUGGAUAAUUAUUUUUGUAGCCCUUUUUUAAUAUCGGCUUGUUGAGUAGCCACCUUGCAUUUAUCUUUGGAAGAAGAGAAGGAUUGAUGAGACAUUUCAAGACUCUCAAAAACCGAUAAAUAUUCUGAAGAUUUGCUACUUCUCAUUUUGUUGUUCCUUGUAUAAGGUUGAAGACUGAUUUUGUAAAUUAUAGAAAAUGUCUGUAUAUAUUCGAACUCGAAAGAUAAUGCAAUUUAUUAAUGUCUAUGGUACUACUGAAUGUUUUAAAUAUCCCGAAGUCUUCAGUACUAGCAGGUACCAUUUUUAAAACCUGUUCACUAUAGAUGCUGGACUAGAUGAUAAUGGCUCAUCAUUCCGCAAAGAUUAAGUGUGAAGUAGAAGCGACACCUUCAUCUUUAUACCCAACUCUCCUGAUGUGAUGGAUUUCAUAUAUCGAAGUUAUCGUCGCUGCCAAGUGUCGUCCUUUCGAUUUCUUUUUGAAAAUACAAUACUGGAUCCAAGCUGGUUUCGGAAAAGAUCCCCAUCUGAAUCGCACCACACUGAACCAAGCCAUUUUUAGAUGGAAGAGGAAGAUAUUUUCUCUUGGAUUUCCCAUUCUAUCGCAUUAGACUAACCAGAUUGACAUGUUUUGACCGAAAUGACCAUGGCUCAACAGGAAAUAUCUGGAACCUACAAGUGGAUUUUGGAAUUUGGACCCUUUUCAAAUUAAAUUAUGGUCAGAGAUCCAACAGAUAUAAUUGAUAGUUUCAAAAGCUAGGAAUAUUAAACCAAGUUCAAAAUGCAUCGCCUUUAAUACUCGCAAAUUAUCAAGACUUAAAUUCAGUCUGCACAGUGGAUUGAAAGUGAAAGGUUUAUGAUCUCUCCAUAUACCAGACAAGUGGUUUCAAAGAAACGAGGGCAAAAUCAUGUGGAUUUAACAUGUGUAAUCCGUGAUAGAAGAAAAUAACCAUGAAGAUUUCUUCUUAUUAAACUAUGGAAUCAAUGUUAAUUUGGAGGAUUUUUUUUUUUGUGCAAUGACAGCAAGAACUUGUGAGAUAACAUCCGUUUGCUCCAGUUUACUUGUACUUAAAUACUUGGGUGAAAUAGAACGUCAUAUAAAGCAAACAAAGAUCAACUAAUCUGCAUUUGAUUCUACAGCAGCGCACUGUGCAAAGAAUACAUCUGAUGUCAUCUAUUUGAAUAACGAAACUCCAUCUGUGGAAUGAAAGGCCUUUUCAGUUCCAGCUACAAACUCUAUAUACAAAGGAUGUCUGGAUGCACAGGAAAGAACGGUACUGAAGUGAUUUCGAUAUUAACAGGAGUUGGCCGAAAUGAUAGCGGUAAAACGGAUGGCAUUCAGAAUCUUCAUCAAGCGAAUAUUAGAACUCGGUGCCUUUAAAAGGAAAUAUUGGAUGGCGAUCCAACAGAUGCAGCUUGUGUCUUUGGUCUGAUAUUAGAGCAAACCCAAAAUGAGUAUUUUGUGCCAAUAUAUUAUCAAUGAUAUGCAUGGUGGAAAUGUAAAUGUAUAUGUAGUUAACAUUACUUGAGGAUAUCAAUACAUCUCUGAAAUACUUUGUUCUUCUAUUUUAAGGUGUUGAAUAUUUAUAUAUUUUUGGAGAAUUCUUUCAAUCAAUGCGUAAUUGUUCUUGAACUUGGAAUUCUUGGAACUUGGAAAAGGUUGAAGUGCAUGGAAUGUAAAUCGUUCAAAGCCUGUGUUUGGCAUAUGAAUCAAUAUUUCUUAACUGUUCUGGAAAUUGUUAUGCAUAUGUCCAUUUUAAUAGCUUCUGGUACAUUAUAUUUCCUUCAAAGUGGAUAUUUGUAUUCUACUCUUUUAGACACAAGUAUUUUUUUAAAUAUUAUAGACAUAUGAAACAUUUUUAUGGAUAAAUUAAAAUUUGAUAGUGUGUUUGAUUUUUUGCUGAAUAUCUAAAACCAAUUUCCAUCAAUUUUUCUUUCAACGCGUAUAAAAUUGACUUCAAAAUUUCAUUUGUAACCAUACUCUUAUUAGAAGUUAACAAGUCGAACUUUUGUUACUCUCCCAGCAAUAUAGCCAGUGAUCUCAACCACUGUCACAGAAUUGAAAUAAAAAAUAUAUAACGCCUUAAUUUGCAUUUGACAUUUCUCCAUUGUCAACGGAGAAUACACUUUCAUGAUAUUGGAUGAUUUGUUAACAUUCUUUUUCAUCAUCGAUUGCAUUAUUAAAAUUCUAAAAAUUUAAUUUUUUGUCAACCGAUUAGGUGUUAUUCCUUCUCAUCAACAUAAUUGUUUGUAGACAGUUUUCAAUUUUUUGACAGAUUUUACAAAGUAGUCUUUCUUUAUUUUCAUUUAUUACUGAAUGUCAAAGAUCGCGAAAGCAAUUUCAUUCAUUUUUCCUGAAUAGAAAUUUAAAUAUGGUGUCAAAGAUCAUUAUUUGAAAUUUAAUUUCAACACUUUGAGAAAUUUUAUCACGAUUUUUGUAGCUAUAUUAAUCAAAUAUCUGUACAUUGCAUCCAUUUUCAAUUAUUUUUUUAAAUCAAGAUUCUAUUCUUAUUAAAUUUAUUAAAAAUUGGUGAUAAUAAAUGAUUAAUAGAACUUCACUUUGUGACUAUGAAAUAAGUUACCACAAACUCAGUAUAUUUAGUGUAAUGGCUAUGUGCGUAUAAUUCUGAUUUAGGAAAUAUUUUUUUUUUCUAUAAGGGUCUUAACAUUAGCCUUUGAAAUAUUGUUUUAUAAUUUUUUUAUUAAAAUUUUGAUCUGAAAGCAAAAUUUGUGAAAAUGAAAUUUGCUUUAAUAUGUAUCUGCAUGUUUAUCUAGUUUAAAAUAUAUCAAAAAUCACUGCUGUCAAUGGCGGGAGAAACGCGUCUGUAUCCUGUAUGAAAGAAAUGGCAAAAAAAUGCGUUGUCCACAUGUCUACUUUGUUUUCUUAAAGAUUAUUUGAAAUUUAAAUAUUUUCCCAUAAAUAUGGCUGAAAUUUAUGUUUGCCUACGUGAAACAGUAUUGUUCAUUGCAAAGAUAUUUUAUGUUUAUAUAUUGAAUUUGGUAAUAUUAAUUAUUGGAACUGUAAUUAUUCUUAAAUAAUGCGAUAUGAUAGUGCUUUCUUCUCUUUUCAUUAACUUUCACAUUUGAAUAAUCGUAAAAUGCACAGCAUUCAUUUUUCCUGAACAGAAAUUUAAAAACAUAUCAAUGAUCGUUAAUUUGUAACCUAAUUUCAAUACUUUCAGAAAAAUUUUAACAUAGUAUUUGUAAUUAUAUUAAAUAAGCAUCUGUUCAUUGCAUCCAUUUGCAGUUAGGCUUUUAAAAAAUAUUUUAUUCUUGUUAAAUUUAUUUUAAGUAAAUUAAUGAUAAAUUUAUUUAAAAAAAAGUUAGCA
This is a long non-coding RNA of Argiope bruennichi, 3694 nucleotides long. RefSeq lists it as uncharacterized. The transcript has 4 exons. The record is from RefSeq and is a predicted model, not a curated record. Lineage: Eukaryota; Metazoa; Arthropoda; Arachnida; Araneae; Araneidae.